This 229-nucleotide ribosomal RNA is filed under the name uncultured bacterium. RNAcentral's name for it is "partial 16S ribosomal RNA". It matches the Rfam family "Bacterial small subunit ribosomal RNA", at positions 568 to 796 of the family's 1533-position model. The record is from RNAcentral.
CGCGUAGGCGGUUGUUUAAGUCGGAUGUGAAAGCCCUGGGCUCAACCUGGGAACUGCAUUCGAUACUGGACAACUAGAGUAUGAGAGAGGGAGGUAGAAUUCCAUGUGUAGCGGUGAAAUGCGUAGAUAUGUGGAGGAAUACCAGUGGCGAAGGCGGCCUCCUGGCUCAAUACUGACGCUCAGGUGCGAAAGCGUGGGGAGCAAACAGGAUUAGAUACCCUGGUAGUCC